GACGAACGCUGGCGGCGUGCUUAACACAUGCAAGUCGAACGGAAAGGCCUGCUUUCCCUUGUGGAUUGCGGGUACUCGAGUGGCGAACGGGUGAGUAACACGUGAGUGAUCUGCCCCCAACUUGGGUAUAAGCCCGGGAAACUGGGUCUAAUUCCCGAUAGGACUGCAGGGUGGUGCCGGUGGUGGAGAACGUUCUGCUAGUGGUUGGGGAUGAGCUCGCGGCCUAUCAGCUUGUUGGUGGGGUAGUGGCCUACCAAGGCGGCGACGGGUAGCCGGCGUGUGAGCGUGGACGGCCGCAGUGGGACUGAGACACGGCCCAGACGCCUACGGGCGGCAGCAGUGGGGACUAUUGCGGCGUGAGCGGAAGCCUGAUGCAGCGAGGCCGCGUGGGGGAUGACGGCCUUCGGGUUGUAAACUCCUUGCGACCGCGAGGAAGCCACCUGGUUGGAAGGGUGGUGACGGUAGUGGUAGAAGAAGCACCGGCUAACUACGUG
RNAcentral lists this ribosomal RNA (494 nucleotides) under uncultured bacterium. Its description in RNAcentral is "partial 16S ribosomal RNA". It matches the Rfam family "Bacterial small subunit ribosomal RNA", at positions 28 to 507 of the family's 1533-position model. The record is from RNAcentral.